UACGGAGGGUGCAAGCGUUGCUCGGAAUUAUUGGGCGUAAAGGGUAGGUAGGUGGUCUCAUUUGUCUGGGGUGAAAGCCUUGAGCUUAACUCAAGAAGUGCCUCAGAAACGGUGAGACUAGAGUUCUGGAGAGGGUCGUGGAAUUCCCGGUGUAGCGGUGAAAUGCGUAGAGAUCCGGAGGAACACCAGUGGCGAAGGCGCUUCUGGGUCCGCCCUGACGCUGAGGCGCGAAAGCGUGGGGAGCAAACAGG
RNAcentral lists this ribosomal RNA (251 nucleotides) under uncultured bacterium. RNAcentral describes it as "partial 16S ribosomal RNA". It matches the Rfam family "Bacterial small subunit ribosomal RNA", at positions 524 to 776 of the family's 1533-position model. The record is from RNAcentral.